GGAAUAUUGGGCAAUGGGCGCAAGCCUGACCCAGCAACGCCGCGUGAAGGAAGAAGGCUUUCGGGUUGUAAACUUCUUUUCUCAGGGACGAACAGAUGUCGGUACCUGGGGAAUAAGCCACGGCUAACUACGUGCCAGCAGCCGCGGUACUACGUAGGUGGCAAGCGUUAUCCGGAUUUACUGGGUGUAAAGGGCGUGUAGGCGGGGACGCAAGUCAGAUAUGAAAACCGCGGGCUCAACCUGUGGCCUGCAUUUGAAGCUGUGUUUCUUGAGUACUGGAGAGGCAGACGGAAUUCCUAGUGUAGCGGUGAAAUGCGUAGAUAUUAGGAGGAACACCAGUGGCGAAGGCGGUCUGCUGGACAGCAACUGACGCUGAGGCGCGAAAGCGUGGGGAGCAAA
RNAcentral lists this ribosomal RNA (399 nucleotides) under uncultured bacterium. RNAcentral's name for it is "bacterial SSU rRNA". It matches the Rfam family "Bacterial small subunit ribosomal RNA", at positions 358 to 772 of the family's 1533-position model. The record is from RNAcentral.